This 370-nucleotide ribosomal RNA is filed under the name uncultured eukaryote. Its description in RNAcentral is "partial 18S ribosomal RNA". It matches the Rfam family "Eukaryotic small subunit ribosomal RNA", at positions 592 to 976 of the family's 1831-position model. The record is from RNAcentral.
CAAUAGCGUAUAUUAAAGUUGUUGCAGUUAAAAAGCUCGUAGUUGGACCUUGGACCUGGACAGGCGGUCCGCCUCACGGCGUGUACUGUCCUGCUGGGUCUUUCCUCUUGGUGAUCUGUUGUUUCGGCAGCAGGGAACCAGGACUUUUACUUUGAAAAAAUUAGAGUGUUCAAAGCAGGCUCGACGCCGGAAUAUAUUAGCAUGGAAUAAUAAAAUAGGACGUGCGGUUCUAUUUUGUUGGUUUUUGGAAUCGCCGUAAUGAUUAAUAGGGACAGUCGGGGGCAUUAGUACUCACAUGCUAGAGGUGAAAUUCUUGGAUUUUGUGAAGACUAACUUCUGCGAAAGCAUUUGCCAAGGAUGUUUUCAUUAA